RNAcentral lists this ribosomal RNA (420 nucleotides) under Fusobacteriota bacterium. RNAcentral's name for it is "Fusobacteria bacterium partial 16S ribosomal RNA". It matches the Rfam family "Bacterial small subunit ribosomal RNA", at positions 355 to 776 of the family's 1533-position model. Lineage: Bacteria; Fusobacteriati; Fusobacteriota. The record is from RNAcentral.
UGGGGGAUAUUGCACAAUGGGCGAAAGCCUGAUGCAGCGACGCCGCGUGGGGGAUGAAGGCCUUCGGGUUGUAAACUUCUUUUGCUCUGAACAAGGCAUGCCUUUGGGGUGUGUUGAGUGUAGGGGUUGAUUAGCGCCGGCUAACUACGUGCCAGCAGCCGCGGUAAUACGUAGGGCGCGAGCGUUGUCCGGAAUUAUUGGGCGUAAAGGGCUUGUAGGUGGCUGGUUGCGUCUGUCGUGAAAGCUCAUGGCUUAACUGUGGGUUUGCGGUGGGUACGGGCUGGCUUGAGUGCAGUAGGGGAGGCUGGAAUUCCUGGUGUAGCGGUGGAAUGCGGAGAUAUCAGGAGGAAUACCGGUGGCGAAGGCGGGUCUCUGGGCUGUUACUGACGCUGAGGAGCGAAAGCGUGGGGAGCGAACAGG